This 239-nucleotide ribosomal RNA is filed under the name uncultured bacterium. RNAcentral's name for it is "partial 16S ribosomal RNA". It matches the Rfam family "Bacterial small subunit ribosomal RNA", at positions 1142 to 1382 of the family's 1533-position model. The record is from RNAcentral.
UAAGAGACUGCCUCGGAUAACGGGGAGGAAGGUGGGGAUGACGUCAAGUCCGCAUGCUCUUACGUCUAGGGCUACACACGUCCUACAAUGGGGUCGACAAUGGGAUGCAAUAUCGCAAGAUGGAGCCAAUCCCCAAACGGCCUCUCAGUUCGGAUUGUAGUCUGCAACUCGACUACAUGAAGUUGGAAUCGCUAGUAAUGGCAGAUCAGCAUGCUGCCGUGAAUACGUUCCCGGGUCUU